UACGUAGGGGGCUAGCGUUGUUCGGAAUCACUGGGCGUAAAGGGCGCGUAGGCGGCCGAUCAAGUCGGGGGUGAAAGCCUGUGGCUCAACCACAGAAUUGCCUUCGAUACUGUUUGGCUUGAGACCGGAAGAGGUUAGUGGAACUGCGAGUGUAGAGGUGAAAUUCGUAGAUAUUCGCAAGAACACCAGUGGCGAAGGCGGCUGACUGGUCCGGUACUGACGCUGAGGCGCGAAAGCGUGGGGAGCAAACAGG
RNAcentral lists this ribosomal RNA (253 nucleotides) under uncultured bacterium. Its description in RNAcentral is "partial 16S ribosomal RNA". It matches the Rfam family "Bacterial small subunit ribosomal RNA", at positions 524 to 776 of the family's 1533-position model. The record is from RNAcentral.